Molecule: ribosomal RNA, 459 nt
Filed under: uncultured bacterium
Lineage: Bacteria
Description: partial 16S ribosomal RNA
Rfam family: Bacterial small subunit ribosomal RNA
Source: RNAcentral
CCUACGGGAGACAGCAGUGAGGAAUAUUGGUCAAUGGCCGCAGGGCUGAACCAGCCAAGUCGCGUGAGGGAUGACGGUCCUAUGGAUUGUAAACCUCUUUUGUCAGGGAGCAAAGGGCGCCACGUGUGGCGCUUUGCGAGUACCUGAAGAAAAAGCAUCGGCUAACUCCGUGCCAGCAGCCGCGGUAAUACGGAGGAUGCGAGCGUUAUCCGGAUUUAUUGGGUUUAAAGGGUGCGCAGGCGGAAUGUCAAGUCAGCGGUAAAAUUUCGGGGCUCAACCCCGUCGUGCCGUUGAAACUGGCGUUCUUGAGUGAGCGAGAAGUAUGCGGAAUGCGUGGUGUAGCGGUGAAAUGCAUAGAUAUCACGCAGAACUCCGAUUGCGAAGGCAGCAUACCGGCGCUCAACUGACGCUCAUGCACGAAAGCGUGGGUAUCGAACAGGAUUAGAUACUCCGGUAGUC